UCUGUAGCAAGGUUAACCGAAUAGGGGAGCCGAAGGGAAACCGAGUCUUAACUGGGCGUUAAGUUGCAGGGUAUAGACCCGAAACCCGGUGAUCUAGCCAUGGGCAGGUUGAAGGUUGGGUAACACUAACUGGAGGACCGAACCGACUAAUGUUGAAAAAUUAGCGGAUGACUUGUGGCUGGGGGUGAAAGGCCAAUCAAACCGGGAGAUAGCUGGUUCUCCCCGAAAGCUAUUUAGGUAGCGCCUCGUGAAUUCAUCUCCGGGGGUAGAGCACUGUUUCGGCAAGGGGGUCAUCCCGACUUACCAACCCGAUGCAAACUGCGAAUACCGGAGAAUGUUAUCACGGGAGACACACGGCGGGUGCUAACGUCCGUCGUGAAGAGGGAAACAACCCAGACCGCCAGCUAAGGUCCCAAAGUCAUGGUUAAGUGGGAAACGAUGUGGGAAGGCCCAGACAGCCAGGAUGUUGGCUUAGAAGCAGCCAUCAUUUAAAGAAAGCGUAAUAGCUCACUGGUCGAGUCGGCCUGCGCGGAAGAUGUAACGGGGCUAAACCAUGCACCGAAGCUGCGGCAGCGACACUGUGUGUUGUUGGGUAGGGGAGCGUUCUGUAAGCCUGUGAAGGUGUACUGUAAGGUAUGCUGGAGGUAUCAGAAGUGCGAAUGCUGACAUAAGUAACGAUAAAGCGGGUGAAAAGCCCGCUCGCCGGAAGACCAAGGGUUCCUGUCCAACGUUAAUCGGGGCAGGGUGAGUCGACCCCUAAGGCGAGGCCGAAAGGCGUAGUCGAUGGGAAACAGGUUAAUAUUCCUGUACUUGGUGUUACUGCGAAGGGGGGACGGAGAAGGCUAUGUUGGCCGGGCGACGGUUGUCCCGGUUUAAGCGUGUAGGCUGGUUUUCCAGGCAAAUCCGGAAAAUCAAGGCUGAGGCGUGAUGACGAGGCACUACGGUGCUGAAGCAACAAAUGCCCUGCUUCCAGGAAAAGCCUCUAAGCAUCAGGUAACAUCAAAUCGUACCCCAAACCGACACAGGUGGUCAGGUAGAGAAUACCAAGGCGCUUGAGAGAACUCGGGUGAAGGAACUAGGCAAAAUGGUGCCGUAACUUCGGGAGAAGGCACGCUGAUAUGUAGGUGAAGUCCCUCGCGGAUGGAGCUGAAAUCAGUCGAAGAUACCAGCUGGCUGCAACUGUUUAUUAAAAACACAGCACUGUGCAAACACGAAAGUGGACGUAUACGGUGUGACGCCUGCCCGGUGCCGGAAGGUUAAUUGAUGGGGUCAGCGCAAGCGAAGCUCUUGAUCGAAGCCCCGGUAAACGGCGGCCGUAACUAUAACGGUCCUAAGGUAGCGAAAUUCCUUGUCGGGUAAGUUCCGACCUGCACGAAUGGCGUAAUGAUGGCCAGGCUGUCUCCACCCGAGACUCAGUGAAAUUGAACUCGCUGUGAAGAUGCAGUGUACCCGCGGCAAGACGGAAAGACCCCGUGAACCUUUACUAUAGCUUGACACUGAACAUUGAGCCUUGAUGUGUAGGAUAGGUGGGAGGCUUUGAAGUGUGGACGCCAGUCUGCAUGGAGCCGACCUUGAAAUACCACCCUUUAAUGUUUGAUGUUCUAACGUGGACCCGUGAUCCGGGUUGCGGACAGUGUCUGGUGGGUAGUUUGACUGGGGCGGUCUCCUCCUAAAGAGUAACGGAGGAGCACGAAGGUUGGCUAAUCCUGGUCGGACAUCAGGAGGUUAGUGCAAUGGCAUAAGCCAGCUUGACUGCGAGCGUGACGGCGCGAGCAGGUGCGAAAGCAGGUCAUAGUGAUCCGGUGGUUCUGAAUGGAAGGGCCAUCGCUCAACGGAUAAAAGGUACUCCGGGGAUAACAGGCUGAUACCGCCCAAGAGUUCAUAUCGACGGCGGUGUUUGGCACCUCGAUGUCGGCUCAUCACAUCCUGGGGCUGAAGUAGGUCCCAAGGGUAUGGCUGUUCGCCAUUUAAAGUGGUACGCGAGCUGGGUUUAGAACGUCGUGAGACAGUUCGGUCCCUAUCUGCCGUGGGCGCUGGAGAACUGAGGGGGGCUGCUCCUAGUACGAGAGGACCGGAGUGGACGCAUCACUGGUGUUCGGGUUGUCAUGCCAAUGGCACUGCCCGGUAGCUAAAUGCGGAAGAGAUAAGUGCUGAAAGCAUCUAAGCACGAAACUUGCCCCGAGAUGAGUUCUCCCUGACCCUUUAAGGGUCCUGAAGGAACGUUGAAGACGACGACGUUGAUAGGCCGGGUGUGUAAGCGCAGCGAUGCGUUGAGCUAACCGGUACUAAUGAACCGUGAGGCUUAACCUUACAACGCCGAAGGUGUUU
RNAcentral lists this ribosomal RNA (2328 nucleotides) under Escherichia coli. RNAcentral describes it as "partial 23S ribosomal RNA". It matches the Rfam family "Bacterial large subunit ribosomal RNA", at positions 634 to 2925 of the family's 2925-position model. The record is from RNAcentral. Lineage: Bacteria; Pseudomonadati; Pseudomonadota; Gammaproteobacteria; Enterobacterales; Enterobacteriaceae.